GCAAACUUGGUCAUUUAGAGGAAGUAAAAGUCGUAACAAGGUUUCCGUAGGUGAACCUGCGGAAGGAUCAUUACCGAGUGCGGACCCCUCGCGGGUCCAACCUCCCACCCGUGUCUCUUGUAUACCCUGUUGCUUUGGCGGGCCCACCGGGGCCACCCCGGUCGCCGGGGGGCGAGCACGCCCCCGGGCCCGCGCCCGCCAGAGCGCUCUGUGAACCCUUAUGAAGAUGGACUGUCUGAGUGUCUUGAUAAUAAUCAAAACUUUCAACAAUGGAUCUCUUGGUUCCGGCAUCGAUGAAGAACGCAGC
This 307-nucleotide unclassified non-coding RNA is filed under the name uncultured fungus. Its description in RNAcentral is "partial contains small subunit ribosomal RNA, internal transcribed spacer 1, and 5.8S ribosomal RNA". The stretch from base 1 to 73 matches the Rfam family "Eukaryotic small subunit ribosomal RNA", at positions 1759 to 1831 of the family's 1831-position model. The record is from RNAcentral. Lineage: Eukaryota; Fungi.